RNAcentral lists this ribosomal RNA (253 nucleotides) under uncultured bacterium. RNAcentral describes it as "partial 16S ribosomal RNA". It matches the Rfam family "Bacterial small subunit ribosomal RNA", at positions 524 to 776 of the family's 1533-position model. The record is from RNAcentral.
UACGUAGGCAGCGAGCGUUGUUCGGAGUUACUGGGCGUAAAGGGUGUGUAGGCGGUUGUUUAAGUUUGGUGUGAAAUCUCCCGGCUCAACUGGGAGGGUGCGCCGAAUACUGAGCGACUAGAGUGCGGGAGAGGAAAGUGGAAUUCCUGGUGUAGCGGUGAAAUGCGUAGAUAUCAGGAGGAACACCGGUGGUGUAGACGGUCCCCUGGGCCGAGGCCGACGCUGAGGCGCGAGAGCUCGGGGAGCGAACAGG